RNAcentral lists this ribosomal RNA (301 nucleotides) under uncultured bacterium. RNAcentral describes it as "partial 16S ribosomal RNA". It matches the Rfam family "Bacterial small subunit ribosomal RNA", at positions 509 to 807 of the family's 1533-position model. The record is from RNAcentral.
CAGCAGCCGCGGGAAUACGAAGGGUGCAAGCGUUAAUCGGAAUUACUGGGCGUAAAGCGUGCGUAGGCGGUGAGUUAAGUCUGCUGUGAAAUCCCCGGGCUCAACCUGGGAAUGGCAGUGGAUACUGGUUCGCUAGAGUGUGUCAGAGGAUGGUGGAAUUCCCGGUGUAGCGGUGAAAUGCGUAGAGAUCGGGAGGAACAUCAGUGGCGAAGGCGGCCAUCUGGGACAACACUGACGCUGAGGCACGAAAGCGUGGGGAGCAAACAGGAUUAGAUACCCCAGUAGUCCCUGUCUCUUAUAC